ACUUUUCUUCCAUUCUAAUGAAACAGUAUCUGCUGCUAUUCUUUAAAAUCUAGGGUUCUUUCUCAUGUCUUCUGUCGGCCGGAGAGAAUUGAAGCCAACAUUCAGGUUAACUAUGGCUGGGGUAAUAACAGGGAGGUGACAGAAGAGAGUGAGCACACAUGGUCUUUUCUUGCAUUGAUAUAUAUUUAUAUGCUUGAAGCUAUGCGUGCUCACUCUCUAUCUGUCACCCCCACCAAUCUCUCUCUCUCUUCUUCUUUUCUCUCUCUAGAUUUCAUUCUGUUUUAUGUUGUGCGUUUCUGUGUUUUUUCAGCGUCUAAUAUUGUUGGAAUGGUACUCAGGGACGGAUCUAGGAGACGGAAGGGGUAACCUUUCAUCGAAAAAAUUAGACUGUAUAUUACAAGUCCAUAAUUACUUAUUAUGUAUAUAGUAGUUGUUGAAUCCCAUUCGCUUCAUGCAUUUGUCUAAUAAUACUCAUUCGCUUCAUGCAUUUGUCUAAUAAUACUCAUCAUAUAUAUAUCGGAUGAGUUUGAGUUAAUUGCUUGUUCAGGAUCAUUCAUUCAUGCUGAUUGGGUUUUACUGAUGGUGGAUCUGGUAAUUAAUAAACUUUUUCUUCAUUUAUUUGUAUAUUUGUGUACUAUAAUACUUUUCGUCUUCUCGACCGAUGGCCUUUCGGAAACAGUAUCUUUACUCUUCGGGUAAGUGUAAGGUUUGCUUAAACAGUACCCUCCCCAGAUCUUACUAGUGUGCAUAUUUUUCUGCAGAAAUGAUUCACCUCAUGUUUUAGUGGUUUCCUUAAUCACUCACCAUUUUCUCUAUUACUAUUGUUUAUACGGUCUUUUGAUAAUUUCUUGCACUUUCAUCAGGAAAAAAUCAAGAUAUAUAUAGUUUUUGCCUUUCUAGUUUAAAUGGAUUUAUCCCAAUCUGACUCUUGUAUUCGCGUUUCAAGAAGAUCCAUUACCUAGUUAGUUUUAGGAUUUUCUGCAAGAUUUUAUAUUAUCCUUUCUACAGUACUACGCAGUUCUUUAGAUAAAUUUCUAAUAUGUUAUUUACAAAAUAUUCGCACGCAAAUGUAAAAAGGAACCAUUUAGUACUCUAUUAACGUUUUCUAGAUAUCUUGAUCAGUGUCCAAUAGUAUUCAAGGUUAGUUUAUGAACAUGGAAACUAAUUACUAUUUUUGAUUUAAACAAGUACAAUAGGAAGGGGAACCAUGGAUUAAUUUCUAGUUUAGUUUAAUCCAUCAUUUUCAAGCUUAGCUUCCGUUUUUGGUUGAUACAAGUUUUAAUAUACAAGUCAAUCUGGGUUCUUUGUUCCUCUCUUAUCUCUUUUUUCUGUUCUGUCAUCAAGCUAUUGGCUUGUUGUAUUUGUGAAGCCAUUUUUAUGAAAGUUUAUUUACUAGUUUUUGUGCCUGUUUUACGAAGUGACUGACCGUUAGCCUGAACUGUUGUGUGUAUGACUCUUUCAUAUUGAAAUUCCAACACUCGUGAAGUGCUAAGUAGUUUCCCUAUUUUGUAAUUCUAGACCAGAAGCCUGUUUACUUAUUUCAAGAAUUUGGGCAACAAUAUUUCUUUUGGAUUAUUUUAGAUUUCCUUACCUGUUGAGUGUACUUGUUGUGGUAUCCUUACAUUUUCUUGAUUCAUCCUCACUUCAUCAAUUAGUUUUCGCGAUUGAGUUGAAUCAAGUAUCUGUUUUUAUUUAUAUGGUAUCACAGCCAGACCAAUUUCUUUAUUUCUUGGUUAUCCUAUAUGUGCUUUUAUGUUAUAUUAGAUUCCCAUAUUGGUUGAGAAUGUUUGAGCAAUUGUAUCCUUAUUAUUCUUAAAAAUAAUUCGCAACUCAUAAGCUAACUGUUGGGUGUUGGGGUUGAGUUAGACUCGAAAGCCAAGGUUUCACAAAUUAUCAAAAAGUUUGCAAAUGUUUUUGUUGUUACUUCCAAGUUCUAGCAAUACUAGUUGAUGGUAACUAUUCCCAUGUUACAUUGUGGUGGUGGCGGGCCGGUUGAUUUUAAGGUUAAUGGUGUUUAAUUCUCAGGUUAAUCUUGGAAACAUGUGUGUCCAUAGCCUGAAGCAGUUUACUCCUUUCUACAUAUGCCAUUAACCCACUCUUUCAAGGUUUAUCUUUUGCAUAGAAAGCAUCUUAGUGGUUAUUUUGACUUGCUUAGAGCCUCCGAUAGUGCAGCUGAAACAGCGAUGAGUUGUACUAUCAAAACAGCGACGAGUUCUUUGUUCUAUUUUGAAGAGUCACCAAUGUUCUUGCUAAAUGGGGAGUAGAAGAGGGGGAAGCUAUCAUUUAUUCAUCUGCAAAUCUGCCCAAAUAUGCAAUUGGAACCUAUUUUCUUGACAAAUUAAGCUCAAAUGCCUCCUGUCAAGUACAAAGAAAGGAGGAAUUUUUGUACAUGGAUUUGCCUCAAAGGCAAGUUUCACAAAAAAUCUCAUUUCGAGUUCAAUCGCCGCUGGUCCAUUGGCGGUACGAAGUGGAAAAUGGAAGAACUGCAAUCCAAUCAAAGAUUCAAACUGCUUAUUGACACAGUCGAACAAAUGCGGCAUGUUUGGGUGAAAAAAGUUUGAAUAGAGCCAGAUCUAAGGGAAGUGUUUGAGUGAGCUAAAAAGUUUGAGUAAAGCCAGAUGUAACCUUGUUUUGCAGUGAGUAGUAGUUAUGAAUCCUGUAGCAAAAUUGGAACUGAGGGUUGGGAGGUAGAAGUACUUUUAUACAUUAAAAAUUCCAUAUAUUUCUCUAUUUUAUUUUUUCCUUUUUCCUCCUCUCCUUUGGGUAGGAUGAUGUGGCGUGCAGUCCACAGUUUGAGAUAGUUCUCUUUUUCUUUUUUCUUUUUUGUCUCCUUGCCUGUUGAAGGAGCGCACCUACAUUUUACAUAGUACAUACCAAAGAGGGAAAGAUGCUACUAAUAUUCCCUUAAGUUUC
Molecule: long non-coding RNA, 2913 nt
Organism: Nicotiana tabacum (common tobacco)
Lineage: Eukaryota; Viridiplantae; Streptophyta; Magnoliopsida; Solanales; Solanaceae
Source: RefSeq, a predicted model, not a curated record